UCGUCGCCCCGAGCCCGCGCAAGCUGUCGAGCCCCGCCGCCGCCGGGAACGGGCUUCCCGCGCCCUGGAUCCGGUCGAUCCGAGCUUCUCCAUGCCCAAGACCUCACCGCCCAUUUGCCCCGCUCGCCGGAGCUCUGCUCCCGGUCACCGCCGCCCUGCUCGCCUCCUACUGCAACCGCCUCCUGCGUUCCUGCCACGAGCGCGUUGACCACGCCCUGCACCGCUUCGAUCUGCCUCGGAGGCCCAGCGCUACGCCAAGCCCACCUCCACAAUCCGGCCUGCUUCAGCCUCCUCCACCGACCGGCCCAUGAGGCCUGGUGAGCAGCCCCCGCCCCCUAUGCACUAUUGGGCCAGCCUGCAGUUUCGGCCCGCAUGUGUUUUUUUUCCUGUUCUGGACGUUUUGCUAAUUAUCCAGUGAUUUACAGUUUUGCAGAAAAGUCCCUCUAGUUCAUACAUUUAAUAACUCACAAAUGGUGCAGCGGAUUAAAAUGAUUUAAACAUGUAAAAUGCUUAGAAUUUUGUGUAGAUUAAUAAUUUGCAACUUUCACCCAUGUUAAAGUUGUUUAAAUGUGUUGUUUGAAUUAAUUUGCUAAAAUGCCAUGUUAAAAUGAUUUAUUUCAUAACUAAAUAACCGUAGCUUGGUUUUAAAUAAACUUUAUAUGUAAAUGGGGUGGAAAAAUGCCUAGUUUAACAUGGUGGACUUUAUUUCCCUGUUUAACAACAAUAAAAUAUGUUUUAGGGCAGAACAGUAGCAAAUUCAUAAAUUGCAUAUGAGGAUUUCCGGAAUUGUUGUUUAUUGUUCCGGCCUCAUUUAAACUUGCCUAAAUAGUUAGUCUACUUAUGCUUCACCCCUUGCCAUGUUGAAUAACAUUUAAUAUUGUUGGGUACAUAAACAAGAGCGAACUAAGUAACUUGAAUGUGGUGUUUCGUCAAUAUGCAACCCGUUGCAUAUUGAGCUCCACUUAAUUUAUAGUGUUGUUUGUUGCACUUUGCCAUGCCAUGCUCUUUAAAUCGGACAUGCAUCAUACUUGGUUGUGCAUCAUGCCAUGUUUAUGCUUGUGUGUUUACCAUGUUGUUUGUUUGUUUCUGGUGUUGCUUCUUCUUGAUAGUUCCUAUUUUGUUGCGAUCGUGAGGAUUCGUUCAACUACGCUUGGUUCGACUACGUCUGUUCGUCUUCUUCAUGGACUCGUUCUUCCUCCUAGCGGGAUUUCAGGCAAGAUGACCAUCACCUUGGAUCUCACUACUAUCAUUGCUAUGCUAGUUGCUUCGUCUAUCGCUUUGCAGCGCUACCUAUCUCUUGUCUAUCAAGCCUCCCAAAUUGCCAUGUCAGCCUCUAACCUUUUCACCCUUCCUAGCAAACCGUUGCUUGGCUAUGUUACCGCUUUUGCUCACCCCCUUGUGGCUUCAUGGUGGUGAGGGCUAACGGAUUGGGGAGGAGGAGAAGAGGAGGCGGCGGAUUGGGGAGGAGAGGAGGAGGCGGCGGAUUGGGGAGGAGAGGAGGAGGAGGAAGAGAAGAGGAGGCGGCGGAUUGGAGAGGAGGAGAAGAGGAGGCGGCAGAUUGGGGAGGAGAGGAGGCUCUCGGUAGGCUAGCGCGCGUGCACUGUUCAUAGCGCGAAUAGAAGGAGACGUGGCCACUGGCGCUAGUUGGGCGUAUUGGCUCAUCCUUUAUAUGUUCAAUGUUGGGCGGUUGAAAUAUGUUCUAUAUUGCAGGUGAUGGGCAGCUGACUUUUAUUGUGCACUUGUGCUGAUUUUGACUUCUGCUUAAUUUGAUACCUACUGUAUAAGUAAUGACACUAAUAUAAUAGAUAUCAGACUAAUGGAUUUGCUAACAGAUUGCCUCUUGUGAUGUUGAUUGAUUUGCAGGCUUACUGGUUUUGGUUCAGUUUGAAGGGCUCUCCGGGCUUAAGAUCUUGGUUUCAUUAGAAUUACAGAAUUUCUUUGCUCGGUAGUAUUGCCGGUGGUGGCAGUUUUACUUUGUGGAUGUAGGUUCUGUUGCCAGUGACACCUCAUGAAUUUUCUGUUAGAUUUAGCAGCCAUACAUACUGAAAGGGACACCUUUGGACAUUCCCUUGCUUUUUCAACAGUCUAAUUACUCGCAUGUAAAAACUGCAUCCAUUUUGGUAUGUGAUACUGCAAGUGUAAAUUUAGAACUGGACCUUAUGGUCUGGCUUCAGUAUCUAUUCAUCAUGGUUAUGUGCAUACUGCAUAAAAAUGGAGUAUCCUUGUGCUCAUUUGAGCUUGCUAUUAUGCCUUGCGUGUGCAUUAAAAUGGAG
RNAcentral lists this long non-coding RNA (2273 nucleotides) under Triticum aestivum (bread wheat). RNAcentral describes it as "long non-coding RNA (TAES_LNC007267)". The record is from RNAcentral. Lineage: Eukaryota; Viridiplantae; Streptophyta; Magnoliopsida; Poales; Poaceae.